AUCCCAACUUCCGUAAUAGAACAAUUAAUUCCAUUUUGGUCAUUGGUAUCUUUAAAAAGGAUGAAACUAAGGAUAUUACGUAACUAUCACGCACCAAGGGUGCCAGCUUUCGUAAAAUUCUUUUAUGAGGAAUAGUACCUUGUGAGGGUGCUAGAUUCAAGAUGAAAAUAGUUAUAAUCUUCCCCACUCCACCUAAUUUGGCAAAGAACUCACGGCGAUCUCUGGCAAAACCACACGA
RNAcentral lists this long non-coding RNA (238 nucleotides) under Solanum melongena (eggplant). RNAcentral describes it as "long non-coding RNA (SMEL_LNC000166)". The record is from RNAcentral. Lineage: Eukaryota; Viridiplantae; Streptophyta; Magnoliopsida; Solanales; Solanaceae.